UGGUAGUNCACGCCCUAAACGAUGUCGAUUAGCUGUUGGGCAGCAUGGCUGCUUAGUAGCGAAGCUAACGCGUGAAAUCGACCGCUGGGGAGUACGGUCGCAAGAUUAAAACUCAAAGGAAUUGACGGGGACCCGCACAAGCGGUGGAUGAUGUGGAUUAAUUCGAUGCAACGCGAAGAACCUUACCUGGUCUUGACAUGUGCGGAACCCUCCAGAGACGGAGGGGUGCCUUCGGGGGCCGUAACACAGGUGCUGCAUGGCUGUCGUCAGCUCGUGUCGUGAGAUGUUGGGUUAAGUCCCGCAACGAGCGCAACCCUUGUCAUUAGUUGCCAUCAUUAAGUUGGGCACUCUAAUGAGACUGCCGGUGACAAGCCGGAGGAAGGUGGGGAUGACGUCAAGUCCUCAUGGCCCUUAUGACCAGGGCUUCACACGUCAUACAAUGGUCGGUACAGAGGGUAGCCAAGCCGCGAGGUGGAGCCAAUCUCACGAAACCGAUCGUAGUCCGGAUUGCACUCUGCAACUCGAGUGCAUGAAGUCGGAAUCGCUAGUAAUCGCAGGUCAGCAUACUGCGGUGAAUACGUUCCCGGGUCUUGUACACACCGCCCGUCACACCAUGGGAGUGGGGGAUACCAGAAGUA
RNAcentral lists this ribosomal RNA (638 nucleotides) under uncultured bacterium. Its description in RNAcentral is "bacterial SSU rRNA". It matches the Rfam family "Bacterial small subunit ribosomal RNA", at positions 788 to 1428 of the family's 1533-position model. The record is from RNAcentral.